Molecule: ribosomal RNA, 497 nt
Filed under: uncultured bacterium
Lineage: Bacteria
Description: partial 16S ribosomal RNA
Rfam family: Bacterial small subunit ribosomal RNA
Source: RNAcentral
UAGGGAAUCUUCCACAAUGGACGCAAGUCUGAUGGAGCAACGCCGCGUGAGUGAAGAAGGCUUUCGGGUCGUAAAACUCUGUUAUUGAAGAAGAACGUGCGUGACAGUAACUGGUCAUGCAGUGACGGUAUUCAAUCAGAAAGUCACGGCUAACUACGUGCCAGCAGCCGCGGUAAUACGUAGGUGGCAAGCGUUGUCCGGAUUUAUUGGGCGUAAAGCGAGUGCAGGCGGUCUUUUAAGUCUGAUGUGAAAGCCUUCGGCUUAACCGAAGAAGGGCAUCGGAAACUGGGAGACUUGAGUGCAGAAGAGGAGAGUGGAACUCCAUGUGUAGCGGUGAAAUGCGUAGAUAUAUGGAAGAACACCAGUGGCGAAGGCGGCUCUCUGGUCUGUAACUGACGCUGAGGCUCGAAAGCGUGGGUAGCAAACAGGAUUAGAUACCCUGGUAGUCCACGCCGUAAACGAUGAGUACUAAGUGUUGGGGGGUUUCCGCCCUUCAG